UGUGUACGACGUGGUGAAUUACAAUGUGAUGAUCGUAGAUCGUAGUUCUUUCACUACAGCGCAGCUGCUGAAGUGACGGCCCUGCGCCCCCGCGCACCCAUGGCCCCGUCGUGGUGGUCGGUCCCGCCUCAGAAACGGCGCUUUCGGUUCUAUUUAGAACCGACUACAUCGUCAAAGUUCCCCUACAGAUUGUGUGGAGCCAGAAGAAAGAAUCGUCUGCUGCUCUAGAUGCUUCACAGGCAAGUUCAGAUGAGCUUUUUGAGGACAAUGUCGGGCUCGAAGAUGAACCAUAUCUGCAGGUUGAAUUUCCUAUAACAGUCAGCAAGGUCCAUGGUAAUUCGGAAUGUAGUCAAGAGGUUCCUGAGGAUGUUGAAGUCGACAACCCAGAUGCUGACGUCUCUGAUUGUGUGGCAAGAAAUUCAGCAGUAAUGCUUCCUGGCCUCUCUGUAAGUAGAUUGCAAGCUUGUGCUUGUGUGAGUCGUAAUUCAAUAAAAAUGUGCUUACUGGAUUACAACCACUGAAAGCUCAUAUUUGAAGGUGCGAGAUCAGAAGGUUCCUUGUAAAGCACCAAUUAUGUGAGAUAUUGGUGAUGGAGUACUGACUCAGAUUUUAGAAGUAUUUUGUAUUCUUGCGCUUAAUAAAAUCGGUGUCAAGAACACUAACAAGUUUAUUGGGGUUGCUCGGAAUGCAAUUAGUACAUUUUCAAUGCCACUUCCUUAAAAAAAACAUUUGUGGUGUUCAUAUCGAGCUGGUGGUUAUGUGUAAACACAGUGUGACGUAGGUCUAAGUCACGUGAGGACAGCAACACUUGAUGUUCUUGCAGCCCUCUGUAGUUUCAGAAAGGGCCUUUUGGAAGGCAACCGAAUGAGAAUUGUGGCUUUUGCAUUACAGCAUCCCAUGUCUCGAUGACAUUCUGCCAUCAAGAUACAUCAGGCAUUUCAUGCCGCUUUCUAAAAGCCUCUUCAUGCUGCUCAAGGAAACUGUCGAGGAGUCUGAGGCAUUUAUUGCUCAGAGAUUGUUAAAGAGGUUUGUUCAAGAGGUUUCCAUACUGUAUGGUGCAGCCGCUCAGACCAUAUUAUUGUUAUGCCAGGAAAUUAUCUGUCAGCAGUAUUUUUUACCCUUCAUGUACAGUAUCGAGCAUCCACCAGCACAUGUAGGGCAGUGUUUGCUGCAUGAAAGCAGCAUGGCUUCACCGUGUGUUCUUGUAGAUCGAGGGGGAACAUUCGUUGUAGCAAAAAUGCCGAAUAUUUUCGAAGGUGACUAAAAGAUGUGUGCCAUAUUCUUCUAGUGUACGAGACGUGUUUCUCCAAAAGUUCAUAUGGUGCACCUUGUCCAACAGUUGAUAUGAUAGGUUAGAAUGUACAGUUUUCCUUUUCUUUCUUUCAUCGGUGAGCAUGUCUCCUUUUUUCAGUGCACUUGUUGUUAAUCCCCCUGCUGCAUGCCUAGGCAUGCAGCAGGGUGUUUUUGUUUUUUGUUAAUUACUCAAGUGCCUCAUGCGCCAAAUAAUUACUCAAUACUUGGCGAGGGUCUUGUGAUAGUAAGGCAGAGAAUAUUGCAGAAAUAUUUGUCGUUUAACCUUGAUCUGACACCCGAAUGUAACUACUCUGAUUGACGAUAUAGACUCAUACAGGAUUUUUAAAAGGAAGAUUCAGUCACACUUACUAUCUACCAUAGGCGUGCGCAGGGUUCCCCUUCAGGGGGGCGAAGGUUCGUCGCAGCACCCCCUCCCAGUUCUGUCAACGUAUGGCGCUGACAUUGCCCCCCCCCCCCCGAGUGGCAGCGCCCCCCUGCCUAUUAUGUCAAUGUAUGGGGCUGGCUUUGCACGCCCCCCCCCCCCCUCUUAGGUGAAUAGGGGGGGCAGCCGCCCUCCCUGCCCUCCUGUGCGCACACCUAUGCUAUCUACAUAAACAUAUUCACCGUCAUCAUAAUCAUUGUUUUGUAUUCUCUAAAGUAUUUGUUUUCUUUGUUUUUUUAAUUUCUGAAACCUUAUGCAUUGAAAUCUUACGUUUCGUCAUGUAAUGUCACAUUCAUGUUUGUUUAUUUUCUCAAACUUUGUUUCAUUUGUUGGUCACAUAUAUGCCUUACUGAUGUCAUUGCCUGGGCCAAUUCACUCAUCUAUUUGUUUUCUUAUACACAUGUGGCCUGCACGUAGCAACUAAUUUAUGCUUAUUUCAUUAUUGACUGUUCAUUUUUUACACUGAGCAUUUUGUCAUUUUGGUGGGAUUUUAGGUUUUCAGGGGGCAGGCGCCUUGUCAGGCUUUUAUACCUUUUCGCCGGUCCCCUAGGCAAAUUGUACCUUUCUUUGUUUUGCUUUUUUCCCGAAAUAAACCUCAACUUCACCUUGCUUGUCUAACCGCCUUGUCGUAUGACAUUUGUAGUAUUGGCAUUUUGCAGGAAAAAUAUGCAUAUGCAGAAAACAAACUACAGUUGCAACCGUUCCUUAACAACAAACAUGUGAAACAUUCUUUUGAUGCUAUUUGCUGAUGCUAUUUCUGCCUGUCAGUGAACUUAUAUUUCUGUGCUUGGUUGCCACAUUGAGAAGUGAUAUGUCCGAUACUGGCAGCUGGCUUGUUGCGCCCUUCCUUCUUUGGGGUCUACCCUUUUAAGGACAGAGGCCAUAAGAAGAAUAUCUCAUAAUUUUUAGUGGGUUUACUUAAGCUGGUUUUUGGCUUUCCAUUUCAAAUGUGCUUUUCAUUUCCAAUGUUCCUAUGGGAGUACAGCAUGAUUUCAAAAUUUUAUAGCAGAUAUAAUCAAGCACUUUAUGGCACAACGUUCUGGGAUUGCUGAAAUUUUCAAACGUAUAGCCCUGUUACUUUGAUUAUUUUGCAUUCUUUUUUUAUUGGACAUUGAUGUACAUGCAUGUAUGCCUACUGCAGUUCACCAUGUCUGUAUAGUGCAAUUAGAAGUACAAAAACUUGUUCUGUGCUGAUGCGUUGAAUAAAUGCAAAUGUGACAUC
Long non-coding RNA from Rhipicephalus sanguineus (brown dog tick), 2957 nucleotides. RefSeq lists it as uncharacterized. The record is from RefSeq and is a predicted model, not a curated record. The transcript has 2 exons. Lineage: Eukaryota; Metazoa; Arthropoda; Arachnida; Ixodida; Ixodidae.